Molecule: ribosomal RNA, 261 nt
Filed under: uncultured Peptococcaceae bacterium
Lineage: Bacteria; Bacillati; Bacillota; Clostridia; Eubacteriales; Peptococcaceae
Description: partial 16S ribosomal RNA
Rfam family: Bacterial small subunit ribosomal RNA
Source: RNAcentral
AAAACAAAAACGUAGGGGGCAAGCGUUGUCCGGAAUUACUGGGCGUAAAGGGCGUGUAGGCGGCAAUGUAAGUCAGGAGUGAAACCCGUCGGCUUAACCGACGGCCUGCUUCUGAAACUGCAUAGCUUGAGUGCAGGAGAGGGAAGUGGAAUUCCUAGUGUAGCGGUGAAAUGCGUAGAUAUUAGGAGGAACACCAGUGGCGAAGGCGACUCUCUGGUCUAUAACUGACGCUGAGGCGCGAAAGCGUGGGGAGCAAACAGG